ACGCUCGACACCUAGGCAGCAGUGGGGAAUAUUGCACAAUGGGGGAAACCCUGAUGCAGCGACGCCGCGUGGAGGAAGAAGGUCUUCGGAUUGUAAACUCCUGUUGUUGGGGAAAAAGAGGAUGGUACCCAACAAGGAAGUGACGGCUAACUACGUGCUAGCAGCCGCGGUAAUCUGAGCGGGCUGGCAAGGC
This 193-nucleotide ribosomal RNA is filed under the name uncultured bacterium. RNAcentral describes it as "partial 16S ribosomal RNA". It matches the Rfam family "Bacterial small subunit ribosomal RNA", at positions 326 to 539 of the family's 1533-position model. The record is from RNAcentral.